Long non-coding RNA from Camelus dromedarius (Arabian camel), 1625 nucleotides. RefSeq lists it as uncharacterized. The record is from RefSeq and is a predicted model, not a curated record. NCBI's taxonomy places the organism in Eukaryota, Metazoa, Chordata, Mammalia, Artiodactyla, Camelidae. The transcript is spliced from 4 exons.
CGGUGUUGCCAUGGCUACAUGCGCCGCGCUCUGCGCGGGCCGGUGUGAGCUUCUGGGGCGGGCAGCGGGCUCCGGAAGUGUGCAGCUACCCGGGACCAUGGCAGUGCUUGCUGCUGGGGCUGGCGGCUUGCUCGCCUGGGCGACUAGUUCUGGCCUGGUCAGUCGGCGGCCGACAUCCUGUCUGGGGCGGCGUCCCACAGACGGUAAACGUACCUUCUGUGUGAUGUCAACCCUCCAGAGGGCUUCAGCCUCCGUAGAAGCGUCUGUAUCCACAUCGCCUUCCUCCUGAAGACCCUGCUGAAAAUGAAGGAAUCGGUGCUGGUGAUACCCCCUUGGGGCCUCCUCUACCAUUGGCAGAGCCUGGACAUCCACCAGGUCCGGAUUCCCUGGUCUGACUUUUUUGAUCUCUCAAGUCUCAACAGAAACAUCCCUGAACCUGAGUACGAACCGUUCAUUGCAGUUUUUCUCAGGAAAUAGAUCUGAAGUGUAUGAGAUCUGUGUUCCCUCCGCUCUGAAAAUCCUGGCCUCCUGGUGAGAUGGAGCGGUGACAAGAAGGCCACUGCCACACAGGCCUUGUCUAAGGAGGACUCGCUCCCUGGACAGUAAGGGCCAUUCUUACCUGAAGGAAAACACGAUGUGUGUGUAGCAUGGGCCACGUGCUGGAGAAGAGAGUGAGAAUCACCUCUGAAGGCGGAGGAAGAAAGUUGGAGGUGCGGGGCACAAAGUCUUUUGUCCUUUUGCUACUGAAAAAAUGAUUGCUUUUGUAAUUAGUGAUGAUGCCCUUUAAAUUGGUGAGAUCGAGAUUCUACAGCUUCAGCGCCUGUGAAUAACCAGCCGGGAGAAAGCUCUCCAGGGCCCCUGCAGUGGGAAAGGCAGCCCCUCUGAGCACCUGUUGUUCUGUAUUCUUCCUGACUCCACAUGGGUUUGCUACGCACCGCACCGUGCAGGACGAUGCAGUUACCCUAGGUGGAGGACAGGGAGACCCCUGCUGUGUGGCGAGCCACAGGAGCCCACAUUUGAAGGACAAAAUGAAGAGUAGUGGGGCGGGCAUAGGAGGAGAGGAUGGUUGAGACCCAGGAUGGUGUCCUGGAGUCCAGCAGGCGAGGCUGGCGGGGCAGAUGGGGCCCUGGGGCAUGGGCAGUCCUUGAGGGAUCUGAAGCAAAGAUAUGAACCAAGAGACUGGAUUCGUGUGGGCGUACAGCGCCCCCUGGAGGCCGCGGGGCAGUGCAGCAAGCCCAGGAGGAGCGGGCAGUUCCCCAGAUUUGGGUUGACAGGUCACAACCAAUUCACUGGGGACCGAGAGGUACCGAGAUAUUGUUAACUUUUUGUCCCUCUUCCUGGAAAAAAGCUGCUUCCUGUUGAAUAGCCUGUGUCGUUAGUGAGAAUUAAAGACAUGAAGCAACAUUUCCUCAAAUGUCAUCCAUUGUGUAGUUGUUAAUAAGGGUCAAAUGCAGACUUGAAUAGACUAAAUCAAAUAUUCAUCAUCGGAUUUUAAAAUCCUUUAAAAUAAAAAUUCUUGCUGUCUUUGUUCUUCAUUUCAGGGUUCACUUGGUGAUAAUAAUAGUAAACAAAGCAACAGCAAACCCUUACAGAACUCUGUCCUGCUGUUCCAGGAACUCUGUGUU